RNAcentral lists this ribosomal RNA (301 nucleotides) under uncultured bacterium. Its description in RNAcentral is "partial 16S ribosomal RNA". It matches the Rfam family "Bacterial small subunit ribosomal RNA", at positions 509 to 808 of the family's 1533-position model. The record is from RNAcentral.
CAGUAGCCACGGUAAUACGGAGGGUGCAAGCGUUAUCCGGAUUCACUGGGUUUAAAGGGUGCGUAGGCGGAUCUGUAAGUCAGUGGUGGAAUCUCCAGGCUUAACCUGGAAACUGCCGUUGAUACUAUAGGUCUUGAAUUUUGUGGAGGUUAGCGGAAUAUGUCAUGUAGCGGUGAAAUGCAUAGAUAUGACAUAGAACACCAAUUGCGAAGGCAGCUGGCUACACAACUAUUGACGCUGAGGCACGAAAGCGUGGGGAUCAAACAGGAUUAGAUACCCGCGUGUCCCUGUCUCUUAUACA